This is a long non-coding RNA of Catharus ustulatus (Swainson's thrush), 2129 nucleotides long. RefSeq lists it as uncharacterized. NCBI's taxonomy places the organism in Eukaryota, Metazoa, Chordata, Aves, Passeriformes, Turdidae. The transcript has 2 exons. The record is from RefSeq and is a predicted model, not a curated record.
CCGGCCGGGACACCGGGACUGCCGUGCCAGCCCUGGCACCCUGAAUCCCGCCGCUCCCAUCCCGCGGUACCGCCUGCACCCCGCGGGUGUGCGGAGCCCCCGCAGCCCCCAGCGGAGAGCAGCGCCGGGCUCCCGUUCCCCGGGUCCGCACAGCCGCGGGGCUCCUGCCCACCGCACCCCUGUGGGACGAGCGGGGCUGGAGCACGGCAGGAGCCGCUCGGCUGGGCACGGUUCCACUCGGGCUGCUUCUUCAGCACCGCCGGAUCACAGGAUCUAUUGGGGUCCAAUCGACCAAACCAAUCUCUGGGUCACAAGUAUGCACCUCGCAAGGAGGAGAAUCCCGAGCACCAGCAAAGGAACUGCAGCUCCUUCUUUUCUGCUGAAGCUGCUUUACACACCAGCCCCUGCUAUGGCUGUAAGGUAGAACUGGCUGGCAGCCAACACAACAGCACCAAACUCUUCCCAUAACCCUGAUUUUCCUGCCCUUUCCAGGAAUUACUCAGCAGCUGUUAAUGUACUCUUGCAAUGUCUUUUUUCAGGGAGACAUGAGUAGGACAAGUCCUGAGGCUGUCCUUGCUGCAUGACCAAAAUUCUCCUGGAGAGUGGCAGGGGGCAUUUCCUGCAGGUGAGUGUUGCUAAAAUGAUGGUAGCUGCUGAAGCUGGGGCUGCUUUUGUGGCCCAGAGCUGCACAAAGGCUUCUCAGUGUCCCCUGCUCACUGCCAGCAACGUUCCUUGGUGUUAGUUGUCUCAGCUGGCAGGGAAUGUGGGGUAGGAGGAGGCCGGGAGCCCCUGGAAGGCAACCAGCACCUCUUGUCCUUGGGCUCUGCGGUGUCCUGCCUGUGCCAAACACACCCCAGGGAUGGGCGCUGGGGUGCCCGGGCAGCGCUGGCACGGACACAGCUCAACGGCUGCCUGCGGCUGCUGGGCCAGGGGCUGCUCUGAACAGGCACUUGGAGAUGCUUCAGCCUGGACAGAAGCCAGGGACACCCUAAGAACACCCCAAAGAACAGCUGGAAUUCCCUGGUGAUGGCAGCACAGGCUGCCUGCAGAGGGUCUCAGGCAGCAAUUCCUGGUUCUGACUUUCCAGAGCUCCCACACAGCUGCCAGGUAUGUCCUGGCCACCCCAAAUCCCUUCCCUUCCAGCCUGAGGCCAUCACCCAGCAGCAGCAUUAAAGCCAAGGCAAUCUUCUGUUAGAGAUACUAAAUCCCAAGCAGCAGCCUGCAGAGAUGACCGAAAAUCAAAGGUGUGGGUGGGAUGAAGUUUUGUUUGGGUGAAGGUGGGAGUUUUCCAGGGAGCCAGCUGGAAGUGCAGAAGGGAUGGAAAGCUUUUGCAGGUGGGUCCCACUGGGGGUGUGCUGAAGGCAGAGAUGUGCACCCCUUUCCUGAGGUCACUGCUGAGGCCCUGAAAGGAACUGAACUUCUGCAGGGAGAGAUGUCCUCCUAUGUGCACGGGGCUGCCCUGGAAUGGGCCGGGAGCGCCUCCACCCCUGCCUUCUCCUGCUUGAAAACAUCACCUGGAGCCCUUGCUCAGGGGGUUGAAUCAGCUGAAUUCCAGGCAACUCUGUCCAGGGCCCUCAGGCACAUGGGUGGCGCUGGGGGAUGUGGAUUUCAAACAAUAAACUCUUUGGAAUAUUCACCUGUCCCUGUCCGGAUGCUGCUGAGCUUCCUUGGAAUCUCUGCCCGUUCCUGGCACAGCUGGUGUUCAAGGGCAGCUCUGCAUGGGAAUAACCACAAUCCAUGCGGCACUGUGAGGUUAUGGCAGCAGGAAUGGAGCAGGGAAUUUGGGGCUAUGGGAUAAUUCAUGGGAAGUAGCAAAGCUGACAGGGAACCCCAAAUCUGGGCACUGCACAAAGAACAAUCUUUGUGCUGCCCUGUCAGCUCAAGCCCCUGGGCUGCGAAGUUUUGGGAGUCAAAGGUAUGGAAUUACACAAAUCACAGCAAUUGAGCUGUGAUACCCAGAGGGACAAUCCAAGUCCCAAACAAUUCCUCCACAAUUCACUCUGGGGGAAAACACCCUGUGCCUGCCAGGAGCUCUGACUCUGCUUUUCCUACCAGCUCCUGAGCAGUGUCAGGGCCACCAUGAGAGCUUUAAAAUCCAGAUAAACCCCAAAUCCCACACACUGAUAAAA